AUGAGGCGCACCAGAUCAGCAUGCCGCGUGAGUUAGAAGGCCUUCGGGUUGUAAAGCUCUUUUGUCAGGGAAGAAACGGCGGAGGCUAAUACCUUCUGCUAAUGACGGUACCUGAAGAAUAAGCACCGGCUAACUACGUGCCAGCAGCCGCGGUAAUACGUAGGGUGCAAGCGUUAAUCGGAAUUACUGGGCGUAAAGCGUGCGCAGGCGGUUGUGCAAGACAGAUGUGAAAUCCCCGGGCUCAACCUGGGAAUUGCAUUUGUGACUGCACGGCUAGAGUGUGUCAGAGGGGGGUAGAAUUCCACGUGUAGCAGUGAAAUGCGUAGAGAUGUGGAGGAAUACCGAUGGCGAAGGCAGCCCCCUGGGAUAACACUGACGCUCAUGCACGAAAGCGUGGGGAGCAAACAGGAUUAGAUACCCUGGUAGUCCACGCCCUAAACGAUGUCAACUAGUUGUCGGGUCUUAAUUGACUUGGUAACGCAGCUAACGCGUGAAGUUGACCGCCUGGGGAGUACGGUCGCAAGAUUAAAACUCAAAUGAAUUGACGG
Molecule: ribosomal RNA, 548 nt
Filed under: uncultured bacterium
Lineage: Bacteria
Description: bacterial SSU rRNA
Rfam family: Bacterial small subunit ribosomal RNA
Source: RNAcentral